UACGAAGGGGGCGAGCGUUGUUCGGAUUUACUGGGCGUAAAGGGCGCGCAGGCGGCGCAUUUUGUCAGGCGUGAAAGCCCCGGGCUUAACCUGGGAACUGCGUUUGAUACGGAUGGGCUAGAGUUCGGGAGAGGAGAGUGGAAUUCCCAGUGUAGAGGUGAAAUUCGUAGAUAUUGGGAAGAACACCGGUGGCGAAGGCGGCUCUCUGGACCGAGACUAACGCUGAGGCGCGAAAGCCAGGGGAGCAAACGGG
This 253-nucleotide ribosomal RNA is filed under the name uncultured bacterium. RNAcentral describes it as "partial 16S ribosomal RNA". It matches the Rfam family "Bacterial small subunit ribosomal RNA", at positions 524 to 776 of the family's 1533-position model. The record is from RNAcentral.